UGGCCAGCUGAUGAUUANGCCGCGUGGAGGAUGAAGGUCUUCGGAUUGUAAACUCCUGUUGCUCGGGAAGAAAAGCUUCGACCUAACACGUCGAGGUCUGACGGUACCGGGUGAGGAAGCCCCGGCUAACUCUGUGCCAGCAGCCGCGGUAAUACAGAGGGGGCAAGCGUUGUUCGGAAUUACUGGGCGUAAAGGGCGCGUAGGCGGCCUGCUAAGUCGAACGUGAAAUCCCCGGGCUCAACCCGGGAACUGCGUCCGAUACUGGUAGGCUUGAAUCCGGGAGAGGGAUGCGGAAUUCCAGGUGUAGCGGUGAAAUGCGUAGAUAUCUGGAGGAACACCGGUGGCGAAGGCGGCAUCCUGGACCGGCACUGACGCUGAGGCGCGAAAGCUAGGGUAGCAAACGGGAUUAGAUACCCCGGGUAGUCCUAGCCCUAAACGAUGAAUGCUUGGUGUGGCGGGUAUCGAUCCCUGCCGUGCCUAAGCUAACGCAUUAAGCAUUCCGCCUGGGGAGUACGGUCGCAAGGCUGAAACUCAAAGGAAUUUGACGGGGGCCCGUACAAGCGGUGGAGCAUGUUGGAUUAAGUCGAAGCAACGCGAAGAU
Molecule: ribosomal RNA, 601 nt
Filed under: uncultured bacterium
Lineage: Bacteria
Description: bacterial SSU rRNA
Rfam family: Bacterial small subunit ribosomal RNA
Source: RNAcentral